RNAcentral lists this long non-coding RNA (4275 nucleotides) under Trifolium pratense (red clover). RNAcentral's name for it is "long non-coding RNA (TPRA_LNC002216)". Lineage: Eukaryota; Viridiplantae; Streptophyta; Magnoliopsida; Fabales; Fabaceae. The record is from RNAcentral.
UUCCACAAAAAAUCAAUAAGUCAGUUAACCAUUUUCAAAUUUGAACCAAAUACACUUACAUAUUUUUUGCUUCUAUUUAACUAUGUUGAGGACCUAAAGAGUGUUAAGUAGAGAUACUUGCCAUAUUUAUUGUGGUUUAUGAUAAUGUCAUACAAUAGACUAAAAUUUUCAAGGUAGACAACCCUGGAAUCUGGAAGUUUUUUUGAUAGAUCUAUAAGUGAAGUGGCAAGCUUGGAGUUGAAAAUCAAUGCUCCAUCAUUUAUAUUUUCUACACAAUCCCUUCCUAUGCCUCCUUUUAUAGUUCUUUGAAGUGGCACACAUCCAACUGGUGAUAAACUGAACACUCCAAUCCUUCUUGCUCCCAAUUCAUAAAGAUCCUUCAUAAAUUUCAUGUAAAUUUCCAUCGAAAUAUGACAAAAUUUAGAUAAAAUUGUUCCCAUCAAAUUUUCAAAAAUUGCAAAUGGGUCCUUAUGAAUUUCAAAAAUUGCAAACUGGUCCCUAGAAUUUUAAAUUUUUGCUAAAUGGCAAAUAUUCUUAUAUAACAAUUUUAAAUUUUCUAUUCAAUGGGUUAAAGAGCAAAUAUUGUUAUAAUUUUGACAUGAAAAGCAUACCUCAACAAAUUUUGAAUUUGAACUAAUAAUCAUAGUUGUAUACUUCUCUAUAUCAUACUGAUGCUUUCUGAAGGGUGACAAAUAAUAUGUUCCUGCAAUAUCAUUGGUUCCCAUGCUUAUUAUAAUUAUGCUAUUUGCAAUAAUCUCAGCUGUCCUAUUUUCUCCCACAGCUACCUUCAAUUUUCCAAUAUACUCUUUGAACAUAUCUAGUUGAUCUUCUGCUGACAACACUGACUAUAUAAUAUAUAUAACACAAAUAAUAAAAAUGUUAUGACAUUUUUGUAACACAAAGUUUAAAAUAGAAUUAAAAUUGUUGAGAUAGAAACUAUAUAUAUUACUGCUAGUUCAAUUGUAAGAGGAUCAUAUCCUGCACCAGAUGAUGCAAAACACACUCCUGUUAAGAGGUCUUCAGUACUCAAAUUUGGAUCAAGAUAAGCUGGCAUAGCCUCCUUAAUACCAACGUAUUCAACUGCAAUUAUAUGAAAUUUCGUAAGCAUAACGAACCAUGCAAGUUUUUAUAACUAUAAUUAUCUCGAAUUUUGUUAAGUGCUUAUACACACUAAAACUGCAUUGGAGGUGUAAGGACUAAACAAAAUAUGUAAAUUUUAAGGGACGAAAAACAUAUUUGACUCAAUUUUUAUACUAGAAAUUUUUAUAUAAGAAUCGAGUGUAAUAAGAAGCAUAUUAGUUAGCAUUUAAAUGUUAAAACUUUGAACUACGUACGGAAAUAAUCAGAAGGGAUUCUUCCAUUGCAAAACCUUCCUGUCGGUUUUCCUCCAAUAAAAUCCUUCCCGUACGGUUUGAAAUUCGACUUAACUAUCGUUGCAAUAUAGUUGUUAUUACCAGUAUCUACGAUUGAAUCACCGAAUGCAAUAACAGCAGGAAAUGAAUAGUUCUUAUAAAGUGGUUUGAUUGUAGCUGUCACAGCAAAUGGAUGAUACAAAACUAGAAAAGAACAGAAAUAAAAAGAUUUAACAAAUGUGAAAUGCUUCAUCAUGUGAUUUGAAUUUAAUUUUCAAUCUUCUGUUUUAGGCUUGAAGAAUGUAGAUUAUAAAGGUUAAGGACAUGUUUUUUAACACAUAUGUUGGAUUGGAACUAUGUAAAACUUUACCUGUUGGUAUCUGCUACUUAACUGUCAUGGUAAGGGUGUUAGAACUAUUUCUUGUUAAUUAGUCUCAAGGGAAAAUUAUAGGGCACAGUUUUCAAUUUUCUGAACUCUAUACUUCAUUGGCUUGUGUUGUUCCGAUUCUUUUUCAUGACAAUAAUCUAAGGGCACAUGUUAGCAUUUUUUUUUAAAAUUAUUUAUUUUAAUUUUACUCCAAAAUGUUAAUACUAGUAAGGUGUGGAUCACUUUCAAGCAGAGUCAGCCCAACGUAUUUUGAGGCCUAAAGCGGAUUAUUAUUGAAGGCCUUUUCAAAAUUAAUAAUAAUAAGUAGAAUUUUUAAAUUGCUUAUAAACUUUUGUUGUGGAUAUACAUUAUGGUAGAACUUAUUUGAGUUGUGUCUAAUUUUAAGAAAUGAUUAGUUGUAUUUAUUUCAAUGAUAAAAAUAGUUUAUUUUUCAAAAACACUCUUAACAAUAAUAGUUAGUGUAUUGAUUCCUUAAAACAGGUGCAUAGAAAGAUAGCUAAAUGAAACACUUGUAGUUGUUCAAUCCAUUCCAGUGGGAAAAGUUUUGUAUGUUUAUCAGGAAUAGUUCAUACAAAUAUUGUGUUUCCACAAAAGUACCUGUUUAUAGGUAUCCCCUUACAUUUUCUCAUUGAUAUUGAAACCAAUUUCAGUUGGUCCAAAACUAACUCAACUAGUGGGAAAAUGCUGCUAGGAGAGAAAGACAGGCAAUCUAUAGACUAGAUACUGCCUAAUUGAAAUAAGAUUUUAUAAAUUAAUAAAAAGAAAGAAGAAAUUUAAUUAUUUUCUUAAGUAGUAGACUAAGUAGAGCGCUUCUUCUAAACCAAAACAUUAGGCUCAAACUGUUAAUGAGUUUCACCAAAGGACGAAUCGUUCGGAAGAACUCGAGUUUGAUUUCUGAGUAGAACAAUUUCUUAGCCAAAUUUUACUUAACUCGUAGCCGAACUCCAAAUUAUUAAGUCCUCAUUCCCCUAAGAAUCGGAGAGUGAACACAAAAAAAAAAGAGCGUUUCUUCUAAAACCUUGUCUUAAAUAUCCAAUUGAUCCCUUGUUUGUCAGAUUUGAUGUGCCAAUGAUGACCAAUGUGUUCAUGUUGUAAAACUCUGAAGUCACAUGUGAAGCAAACAACAUAUACAAGUAAAUUGGUCCAGUCGAUAAGAAUUCAGCUCAGAUCCACAAUAAUUUGGGUUCGAGUGCUGCUUCCAAUGUAAAUAAAAACAUUAUUUAUCGGUAAUACGUUAAUACUUUUGCAAGCACCUUUUAAACCAUACAAUUUUCUUUGAUUUUGACAAGUCUCGAAAUUCAACUCGUCUAAAAUUUUAUAACCAAACAAACAAAACUUAUAAAGAAACAAAUAGUUAAAAUACUUCUGCUUGUUGUAAGAUCAUUUGAAUUUUUUCUUUGUUGCAAGUGUUUGUCAAAAAAUUUAUUCACAUCCUUAACCAUGAGAUAAUCCAAGUCUGUUGCUAUAUUUGUUGAACCUUUAAUUUCAUUGUACAAUAUAAUCCAUAAACUGGUAAAAUACAUUAAAUGGUAAUUAAGUCCUAAUCUAAAAAGGAAAAUAUUUCAAACAAACUCAUCAGCUUUGUUAUUUAAGGUUUCAUGGACAAGUAUUUUGUAAGCUUUCUCUGUGGGGUGGUAACUGUCCCAAAACACAUACUGAGUGGUAUCUAGACACACUUUUAAGGUGAAAGAACUACAAAGAGGACCAAGUUCUAGAUUUGCAAUGCCACAGCAUGAACCAUCCCCAUUUUCAAAUCCUGUUCCACAAAAAAUCAAUAAGUCAAUUAACCAUAUUCAAUAGGGAUUAUGUUGGUAAUCUUCUUAGUUAAUUCAGAUAAAUAUUCUCAUAUAAUUUAAUGGUUAUUUUUAUUUUCAUAAUUGAAAUAAUGAAUUAAUUGACACCAAUUUGAUUAAAACAACAUAUACAAAUAAAGAUGUAACUUAUACCGAAUUGACGUUUAUAAUGUCAUUUUUUUAGCCGUAAAAAUAACAAGAGUCGUAAUUUUGUACCUUUAAAAAAUAUUAUCGACAGUGUUAAGAUUUCUAAUAAUUUUAAUCAUUGGUCCACAGUGAACCACUUGUGAACCUAGUCAAUCGUAACAUUAGUCAUAUAGACAAAAAAAAAAAUUAUUCCAAAUUUGAAUCAAAUACAUAAAUAUUUUUUACUUCUAUUUAACUCUAGAGUUGGGAAUAAUAUAAUUAAGUUGCAUAGCAUGAAAUUUAACUAUGUUGAGGACCUAAAUAGUAUUAAGUAGAGAUACUUGCCAUAUUUAGUGUGGUUUACGAUAAUGUCAUGCAAUAGAGUAAAAUUUUCAAGGUAGACAACCCUGGAAUCUGGAAGUUUUUUUUUUAGAUCUACAAGUGAAGUGAUAAGCUUGGAGUUGAAAACCAAUGCUCCCUCAUUUAAUUUUUCUACACAAUCCCUUUUUAUGCCUCCUUUUAUAGUUCUUUGUAGUGGCACACAUCCAAUUGGUGAUAAACUGAACACUCCAAAUCUCCUUGCUCCCAAUUCAUAAAGAUCCUUCAUCAAUUUCAU